RNAcentral lists this ribosomal RNA (465 nucleotides) under uncultured bacterium. Its description in RNAcentral is "partial 16S ribosomal RNA". It matches the Rfam family "Bacterial small subunit ribosomal RNA", at positions 338 to 795 of the family's 1533-position model. The record is from RNAcentral.
CCUACGGGCGGCAGCAGUAGGGAAUUUUCGUCAAUGGGCGCAAGCCUGAACGAGCAAUGCCGCGUGAACGAGGAAGGUCUUCGGAUCGUAAAGUUCUGUUGAAGGGGAAAAAGAGCGGAGAGAGGAAAUGAACUCCGAUUGUUAUUACCCUUCGAGGAAGUCACGGCUAACUACGUGCCAGCAGCCGCGGUAAUACGUAGGUGGCGAGCGUUAUCCGGAAUGAGUGGGCGUAAAGGGUGCGUAGGCGGCCUGCUAAGUCGGGAGGGAAAGGUACCGGGUCAACCGGUACAGGCUCUGGAAACUGGCGGUCUAGAGAGGAGGAGAGGGCGGGGGAACUCCAUGUGUAGCGGGAAAAUGCGUAGAUAUAUGGAAGAACACCAGUGGCGAAGGCGGCCGCCUGGCCUGUUGACUGACGCUGAGGCACGAAAGCGUGGGGAGCAAAUAGGAUUAGAUACCCCUGUAGUC